AGCGAACGCUGGCGGCAGGCCUAACACAUGCAAGUCGAACGAACUCUUCGGAGUUAGUGGCGGACGGGUGAGUAACACGUGGGAACGUGCCUUUUGGUUCGGAAUAACUCAGGGAAACUUGUGCUAAUACCGAAUGUGCCCUUCGGGGGAAAGAUUUAUCGCUAUUAGAGCGGCCCGCGUCUGAUUAGCUAGUUGGUGAG
RNAcentral lists this ribosomal RNA (200 nucleotides) under uncultured bacterium. RNAcentral describes it as "partial 16S ribosomal RNA". It matches the Rfam family "Bacterial small subunit ribosomal RNA", at positions 29 to 256 of the family's 1533-position model. The record is from RNAcentral.